Molecule: long non-coding RNA, 656 nt
Organism: Tupaia belangeri chinensis (Chinese tree shrew)
Lineage: Eukaryota; Metazoa; Chordata; Mammalia; Scandentia; Tupaiidae
Exons: 3
Source: RefSeq, a predicted model, not a curated record
AGUAAGUCUGGAUGCCCUGAAGAACUAUUCUUGAUGCCUGUAAACUUCAUAGAAGAUUUGUUUUUUAAAAUCUGAGAAAGCUUUGGGUGAGGGGCAAAGAAGGGACCUCAGGUGCUAUCUGGCCACAGCCACAUGACAAUUGGCCAUCUCUGGACACUUUUUAGUGUGGAGAUUAUCCAAAUACUACAUGUCAGAUGGGUGAUUUUCUUCCAGUACUCUAUGGCCAGGAUUGAUGUAUUUUGGGUUCCAGUCAAGUACAUAAGCCUUUGUUUCUUUCAUAAUAAUGCAUUCCAACAUACCUCGUCACUGUCCCUUGUUUCUGUGGAGUGGCAGAGAUUGGCCUGGAAGUCAGCUCACACUACGAUCAUGGAAACUUUCACAUAAGCAGGUUUAAUAAAACCAGUCACGCUAAUGAGAUUCAUGUAGCAAGAAACUAAGGAUGGCCUCCAGCCUACCUCCAGCCAGGAACUUCUGCUCUUAUUCAAACAGCACUUGAAGAACUGAGUCUUGCCAAUGACCACAUAAAUGAAUCUGGAAACACUUCUUCCCCAGAUAAAACUUCAAAUGAGACUACAGUCCCGACUAAAAUCUUGAUACAGCUUUAUGAGAAAUUAUGUGGCAGAAGACUAACCUAGGUCAUCCUCUGAUUUUUGAUC